GAUCAUGGCUCAGAUUGAACGCUGGCGGCAGGCUUAACACACGCAAGUCGAACGGUAACAUGAAGAAGCUUGCUUCUUUGAUGACGAGUGGCGGACGGGUGAGUAAUGCUUGGGAAUCUAGCUUAUGGAGGGGGAUAACUACGGGAAACUGUAGCUAAUACCGCGUAGAAUCGAGAGAUGAAAGUGUGGGACCUUCGGGCCACAUGCCAUAGGAUGAGCCCAAGUGGGAUUAGGUAG
Molecule: ribosomal RNA, 237 nt
Filed under: uncultured bacterium
Lineage: Bacteria
Description: partial 16S ribosomal RNA
Rfam family: Bacterial small subunit ribosomal RNA
Source: RNAcentral